UACGUAGGUGGCAAGCGUUAUCCGGAAUUAUUGGGCGGAAAGAGCGCGCAGGUGGUUAAUUAAGUCUGAUGUGAAAGCCCACGGCUUAACCGUGGAGGGUCAUUGGAAACUGGUUGACUUGAGUGCAGAAGAGGGAAGUGGAAUUCCAUGUGUAGCGGUGAAAUGCGUAGAGAUAUGGAGGAACACCAGUGGCGAAGGCGGCUUCCUGGUCUGCAACUCACACUGAGGCGCGAAAGCGUGGGGAGCAAACAGG
This 253-nucleotide ribosomal RNA is filed under the name uncultured bacterium. RNAcentral describes it as "partial 16S ribosomal RNA". It matches the Rfam family "Bacterial small subunit ribosomal RNA", at positions 524 to 776 of the family's 1533-position model. The record is from RNAcentral.